GCAGUCGAGCGGUAGCACAGAGAGCUUGCUCUCGGGUGACGAGCGGCGGACGGGUGAGUAAUGUCUGGGAAACUGCCUGAUGGAGGGGGAUAACUACUGGAAACGGUAGCUAAUACCGCAUAAUGUCGCAAGACCAAAGUGGGGGACCUUCGGGCCUCAUGCCAUCAGAUGUGCCCAGAUGGGAUUAGCUAGUAGGUGGGGUAACGGCUCACCUAGGCGACGAUCCCUAGCUGGUCUGAGAGGAUGACCAGCCACACUGGAACUGAGACACGGUCCAGACUCCUACGGGAGGCAGCAGUGGGGAAUAUUGCACAAUGGGCGCAAGCCUGAUGCAGCCAUGCCGCGUGUGUGAAGAAGGCCUUCGGGUUGUAAAGCACUUUCAGCGGGGAGGAAGGCGAUAAGGUUAAUAACCUUGUCGAUUGACGUUACCCGCAGAAGAAGCACCGGCUAACUCCGUGCCAGCAGCCGCGGUAAUACGGAGGGUGCAAGCGUUAAUCGGAAUUACUGGGCGUAAAGCGCACGCAGGCGGUCUGUCAAGUCGGAUGUGAAAUCCCCGGGCUCAACCUGGGAACUGCAUUCGAAACUGGCAGGCUAGAGUCUUGUAGAGGGGGGUAGAAUUCCAGGUGUAGCGGUGAAAUGCGUAGAGAUCUGGAGGAAUACCGGUGGCGAAGGCGGCCCCCUGGACAAAGACUGACGCUCAGGUGCGAAAGCGUGGGGAGCAAACAGGAUUAGAUACCCUGGUAGUCCACGCCGUAAACGAUGUCGAUUUGGAGGUUGUGCCCUUGAGGCGUGGCUUCCGGAGCUAACGCGUUAAAUCGACCGCCUGGGGAGUACGGCCGCAAGGUUAAAACUCAAAUGAAUUGACGGGGGCCCGCACAAGCGGUGGAGCAUGUGGUUUAAUUCGAUGCAACGCGAAGAACCUUACCUGGUCUUGACAUCCACAGAACUUAGCAGAGAUGCUUUGGUGCCUUCGGGAACUGUGAGACAGGUGCUGCAUGGCUGUCGUCAGCUCGUGUUGUGAAAUGUUGGGUUAAGUCCCGCAACGAGCGCAACCCUUAUCCUUUGUUGCCAGCGGUUAGGCCGGGAACUCAAAGGAGACUGCCAGUGAUAAACUGGAGGAAGGUGGGGAUGACGUCAAGUCAUCAUGGCCCUUACGACCAGGGCUACACACGUGCUACAAUGGCAUAUACAAAGAGAAGCGACCUCGCGAGAGCAAGCGGACCUCAUAAAGUAUGUCGUAGUCCGGAUUGGAGUCUGCAACUCGACUCCAUGAAGUCGGAAUCGCUAGUAAUCGUAGAUCAGAAUGCUACGGUGAAUACGUUCCCGGGCCUUGUACACACCGCCCGUCACACCAUGGGAGUGGGUUGCAAAAGAAGUAGGUAGCUUAACCUUCGGGAGGGCGCU
This 1404-nucleotide ribosomal RNA is filed under the name Klebsiella pneumoniae. Its description in RNAcentral is "bacterial SSU rRNA". It matches the Rfam family "Bacterial small subunit ribosomal RNA". The record is from RNAcentral. Lineage: Bacteria; Pseudomonadati; Pseudomonadota; Gammaproteobacteria; Enterobacterales; Enterobacteriaceae.